UACGUAGGGUGCGAGCGUUGUCCGGAAUUAUUGGGCGUAAAGAGCUCGUAGGCGGUGUGUCGCGUCGGCCGUGAAAACCUGCAGCUUAACUGUGGGCUUGCGGUCGAUACGGGCAUCACUGGAGUUCGGCAGGGGAGACUGGAAUUCCUGGUGUAGCGGUGAAAUGCGCAGAUAUCAGGAGGAACACCGGCGGCGAAGGCGGGUCUCUGGGCCGAUACUGACGCUGAGGAGCGAAAGCGUGGGGAGCGAACAGG
Molecule: ribosomal RNA, 254 nt
Filed under: uncultured bacterium
Lineage: Bacteria
Description: partial 16S ribosomal RNA
Rfam family: Bacterial small subunit ribosomal RNA
Source: RNAcentral